This 229-nucleotide ribosomal RNA is filed under the name uncultured bacterium. RNAcentral's name for it is "partial 16S ribosomal RNA". It matches the Rfam family "Bacterial small subunit ribosomal RNA", at positions 91 to 334 of the family's 1533-position model. The record is from RNAcentral.
UACAGUGGCGUACGGGUGAGUAACACGUGGAUCAUCUACCUCUUGGUGGGGAAUAACCCUGGGAAACCGGGGCUAAUACCGCAUAAGCCUGCAAAGGGAAAGCAGCAAUGUGCCGAGAGAGGAGUCCGCGGCCGAUUAGCUGGUUGGUAGGGUAAUGGCCUACCAAGGCAAUGAUCGGUAGCCGGCCUGAGAGGGCACACGGCCACACUGGCACUGAAACACGGGCCAG